Molecule: ribosomal RNA, 253 nt
Filed under: uncultured bacterium
Lineage: Bacteria
Description: partial 16S ribosomal RNA
Rfam family: Bacterial small subunit ribosomal RNA
Source: RNAcentral
UACGUAGGGGGCGAGCGUUGUCCGGAUUUAUUGGGCGUAAAGGGCACGCAGGCGGUCCAUUAAGUUCAGGGUGACAGUCAUCAGCUUAACUGAUGAAGUGCCUUGAAAACUGGUGGACUUGAGAGCGAGAGAGGGACACGGAACUCCGGGUGGAGCAGUGAAAUGCGUAGAGAUCCGGAAGAACACCAAAGGCGAAGGCAGUGUCCUGGCUCGUUUCUGACGCUCAGGGGCGAAAGCGAGGGGAGCGAACGGG